This 225-nucleotide ribosomal RNA is filed under the name uncultured Pseudomonas sp. Its description in RNAcentral is "partial 16S ribosomal RNA". It matches the Rfam family "Bacterial small subunit ribosomal RNA", at positions 568 to 792 of the family's 1533-position model. The record is from RNAcentral. Lineage: Bacteria; Pseudomonadati; Pseudomonadota; Gammaproteobacteria; Pseudomonadales; Pseudomonadaceae.
CGCGUAGGUGGUUUGUUAAGUUGGAUGUGAAAUCCCCGGGCUCAACCUGGGAACUGCAUUCAAAACUGACAAGCUAGAGUAUGGUAGAGGGUGGUGGAAUUUCCUGUGUAGCGGUGAAAUGCGUAGAUAUAGGAAGGAACACCAGUGGCGAAGGCGACCACCUGGACAAAGACUGACGCUCAGGUGCGAAAGCGUGGGGAGCAAACAGGAUUAGAUACCCUUGUA